Molecule: ribosomal RNA, 177 nt
Filed under: uncultured bacterium
Lineage: Bacteria
Description: partial 16S ribosomal RNA
Rfam family: Bacterial small subunit ribosomal RNA
Source: RNAcentral
AGUUGGAAUUGCUAGUAAUCGCGGAUCAGCAUGCCGCGGUGAAUACGUUCCCGGGCCUUGUACACACCGCCCGUCACACCAUGAGAGUCGGGAACACCCGAAGUCCGUAGUCUAACCGCAAGGAGGGCGCGGCCGAAGGUGGGUUCGAUAAUUGGGGUGAAGUCGUAACAAGGUACC